GAUUGAUUGGAUUGGCUCUGAAAUUCCCUCAACAGUGAGAAUAAAUCCAGGAGAAGAUGAUUUCUCCUAAGGAAUGUGGGACUCAGCUUCCUGACCAGGAAUUGAACCGGCACCCCCUGCAUUGGAAGGCAAAGUCUUAACCACUGGACCACCAGGGAAGUCCCCUAGUUUCAUGCUUCUUUAGCUUCAUUUAUAUCCUUCCAGUUAUGGUUCUGCUUCAGCAUCAAGAUUCUUCAAGUGUGUCCCACUAAGACCUCUAUAAACCAUUCAAGAAUGGAGAAGAUGGAGCCACAAUGGAAGAAAAUC
Balaenoptera acutorostrata (minke whale) is the source of this 306-nucleotide long non-coding RNA. RefSeq lists it as uncharacterized. NCBI's taxonomy places the organism in Eukaryota, Metazoa, Chordata, Mammalia, Artiodactyla, Balaenopteridae. The record is from RefSeq and is a predicted model, not a curated record. The transcript is spliced from 3 exons.